This 66-nucleotide transfer RNA is filed under the name Dibolia occultans. Its description in RNAcentral is "tRNA-Asn". The record is from RNAcentral. Lineage: Eukaryota; Metazoa; Arthropoda; Insecta; Coleoptera; Chrysomelidae.
UUAAUUGAAACCAAGCCCGAGGUCUGUCACUGUUAAUGACAAUAUUGAGAUUAAUCUCCAAUUAAA